Molecule: ribosomal RNA, 253 nt
Filed under: uncultured bacterium
Lineage: Bacteria
Description: partial 16S ribosomal RNA
Rfam family: Bacterial small subunit ribosomal RNA
Source: RNAcentral
UACGAAGGGGGCUAGCGUUGCUCGGAAUCACUGGGCGUAAAGCGCACGUAGGCGGCUUUUUAAGUCAGGGGUGAAAUCCUGGAGCUCAACUCCAGAACUGCCUUUGAUACUGAAGAUCUCGAGUCCGGGAGAGGUGAGUGGAACUGCGAGUGUAGAGGUGAAAUUCGUAGAUAUUCGCAAGAACACCAGUGGCGAAGGCGGCUCUCUGGGACGGUACUGACGCUGAGACGCGAAAGCGUGGGGAGCAAACAGG